This 820-nucleotide ribosomal RNA is filed under the name uncultured bacterium. RNAcentral's name for it is "bacterial SSU rRNA". It matches the Rfam family "Bacterial small subunit ribosomal RNA", at positions 1 to 801 of the family's 1533-position model. The record is from RNAcentral.
UUAGAGUUUGAUCCUGGCUCAGGACGAACGCUGGCGGCAUGCCUAAUACAUGCAAGUCGAACGCUGAAGCACUCUGCUUGCAGAGUGCGGAUGAGUGGCGAACGGGUGAGUAACACGUGGGAAAUCUGCCUAGGAGUGGGGGAUAACAUUCGGAAACGGAUGCUAAUACCGCAUAUCUUUUUGAACCGCAUGGUUCUUAAACGAAAGACGGCUUCGGCUGUCGCUCUUAGAUGAUCCCGCGGCGUAUUAGUUAGUUGGUGGGGUAAAGGCCUACCAAGACCAUGAUACGUAGCCGACCUGAGAGGGUGAUCGGCCACACUGGGACUGAGACACGGCCCAGACUCCUACGGGAGGCAGCAGUAGGGAAUCUUCCACAAUGGGUGCAAACCCGAUGGAGCAAUGCCGCGUGAAUGAAGAAGGUCUUCGGAUCGUAAAGUUCUGUUAUUAGUGAAGAACAAAUCGAGGAGUAACUGUCUCGAUUUUGACGGUACCUAACCAGAAAGUCACGGCUAACUACGUGCCAGCAGCCGCGGUAAUACGUAGGUGACAAGCGUUGUCCGGAAUUAUUGGGCGUAAAGGGAGCGCAGGCGGUUGGAAUAGUCUGAUGUGAAAGCCCACGGCUUAACCGUGGGAAGGUCAUUGGAAACUGUCCAACUUGAAUACAGAAGAGGUAAGUGGAAUUCCAAGUGUAGCGGUGAAAUGCGUAGAUAUUUGGAAGGACCACAGUGGGCGAAGGCGACUUUCUGGUCUGUAUUUGACCCUGAGGCUUCGAAGCCUGGGGUACCAAACAAGAAUUAAAUACCCCUGGGUAUUCCACGCC